Molecule: long non-coding RNA, 1919 nt
Filed under: Triticum aestivum (bread wheat)
Lineage: Eukaryota; Viridiplantae; Streptophyta; Magnoliopsida; Poales; Poaceae
Description: long non-coding RNA (TAES_LNC017882)
Source: RNAcentral
UUUUUUUGUGUGUUUUUGUGUGCAAAAACUGCCAUCCAUUGGAUGUGGAGAUCGUGUGAUUCAUGGGGUUUUCGCUGGCAAAACGUCCCUGGAGAGUGGAGAACGUCUCACGGAAUUGGAUUUAGUAAAACAACACCAAGCAUAACUGGUAUAUUUCACAGUUCAGCACCGCACUGAAAGAUUAAAUUGGUUACAUUUUUGGAAUCAGACCCUGCCUUGUGGACACAACACGGUUGGAUUUUUGGAAUCAGAGGAAGACUAUUUGUUAAUUAUAUAUGCUUGUGUGAUGUCUUAAUAGGAUCAAUGUUGAGGAUAUCGCUUAUCGUUAUCAUCUCGGUCAGCUAGGGAUUAGAGAUUAAUCUGAAAUCGGCCGAUUAAUCGAUUUUAUCGGUCGACUAUUAAUCGGAUAUUUUUUGCAAAUCCCAGGUUCCCAACACUAAAAUACGCUAGAUUCAACACCAAAACAAUAUUUGACAGACGUGUUACCUUGAUUCCUAGCCUUUGAAUCCUCGUAUAAUGACAAACAAAAUACGUCACCAGUACAUAUUGCGUAACAAGGUCCACAAAACAUAAAUAAACAAUGUUUUUGCAAACAUAGUGCUAUGAAUAGGUCUGAUUUAUUAGUAGAUUCCCGAUAAAUCGCUUGUUAGAGCGAUAAACUGGUCCAAAAGAUAAACGGUGAAGAUAAGGCAUAAUCUUAUCAGUCACCCCCGAUUAGCGAUAAAUCAAAAGAUUAAUCGUUGAAUCGGAAGAUUUCUUUAACAGUGAAUAGGAUAUCCCCAAGUACUGUUGAGUAACAUGGUUGUUGGGGUUGGGGUGGGGUGGGGAGAAGCAUUUCCUAACAUAUCAUGAACAACGAACAACCUGAAAUUACAUUUUGUACUCUCUUUGCUUCAAGAUGUUAGCAAACGAAGCGAACAUUCGGUAUUUGAUGAAUCCACUAGGCAGGUUAAUUGUUACUCCCUCUGUUCAUAAUACUAGAUGAUCUCCCGCACGUUGCUGCGGGAACUGUUAAUAAAUAAUUUGAUGAUGUUUUAAAUCAUGAGAAAAUUUAUGAAACAUAGUAUAAUUUGAUGACAAUUUUUUUGAAAGAAGUAUUGUUUAGUGUAAACUUCUAAGAAUAUUAGAUGAAAAAUAAAAAAUGAGUGUAAUUUUUGUUCUGUUAAUUUAUUGACAAAAUAACAUUGAGUAGAGACAAUGGAGACAUCUCCACCCUGGACUAAACUUAAAACAAUGGAGCAAAUACGGAUGUGCAUUCAUACAAAAAAGUUGGUCGGAUAGAAAAAAAAUGCGAGUUAACUCAUAAUUUGAUUUUCAAUAUAAUAAAGCCGCUUAUAAAUCAUGAGGCCAGCUGUUGGAUAGCAAGAGAAACCUAGAAUGACGUGGCUGCUUGAGAGUGCACAAAAAUAAUAAUUAAUGGUUAUUUGUGAUAAGUUGCAUGCGCAUGAAGAGUUAGUGGGAAAGAGUUUUUAAAUAGUGAACCUACUUGAUGAUGUGGAUUGGUUACAUGUUAAGAUAAACAGGAUAGUGGGGAUGAAUCUCUUAGGUAUACAGGAUAAGACGUUUUUGCAGUUCAACAGAGGUAGUAUAAGUUACAAGAUGUUUUUGCAGUUCAACAGAGGUAGUAUAAGUUACAGUACAACUUAAGUAAAUAGUGAUGACUGUGGCACACACAAACGUACGCAACCUACAGCAUAUGAACUAACAGGUACAGUCCAUAUCACUAGCAGUACAACACAUUCUAAACCAAGAUGGAUCCAGUGAAACCAUCCGGUCCAUCAAUUCGUGUUCCAUCAUGCCUAUAUUGCUAAUCAGUUGAUCUACAAAUAACACCUAGAUUCAGCCAAAAUAGCGAACCUGUUCUACCAUUUGUCCUACUUUCUUCUUUUCUUUCUGAGCUAUGCUCCUCCGAGCUNNNN